CUACGGGAGGCUCCAGUGAGGAAUAUUGGUCAAUGGCCGAGAGGCUGAACCAGCCAUCCCGCGUGCAGGAUGACGGCCCUAUGGGUUGUAAACUGCUUUUCUACGCCAAGAAAUCUGAUUACGUGUAAUUAGUUGACGGUAGCGUAGGAAUAAGCAUCGGCUAACUCCGUGCCAGCAGCCGCGGUAAUACGGAGGAUGCAAGCGUUAUCCGGAUUCAUUGGGUUUAAAGGGUGCGCAGGCGGGCUUGUAAGUCAGUGGUGAAAUACUGCCGCUUAACGGUAGAACUGCCAUUGAUACUGCAAGUCUUGAAUAUGGUUGAGGUAGGCGGAAUGUGUUGUGUAGCGGUGAAAUGCAUAGAUAUGACACAGAACGCCGAUUGCGAAGGCAGCUUACUAAGCCAUUAUUGACGCUGAGGCACGAAAGCGUGGGGAGCGAACAGGAUUAGAUACCCCGUGUAGUC
RNAcentral lists this ribosomal RNA (460 nucleotides) under uncultured bacterium. Its description in RNAcentral is "partial 16S ribosomal RNA". It matches the Rfam family "Bacterial small subunit ribosomal RNA", at positions 339 to 795 of the family's 1533-position model. The record is from RNAcentral.